Molecule: long non-coding RNA, 4642 nt
Filed under: Xyrichtys novacula (pearly razorfish)
Lineage: Eukaryota; Metazoa; Chordata; Actinopteri; Labriformes; Labridae
Source: RNAcentral
UGUGUUUCUGAUUAUUGUCGAGAAACAACAACCCUGUAAAUCUUCUUACAGUGUGAAAUAAUCUCUUUCUGCAGGACCACCCUGAUGCUCUGAGAAUUGAGAAUCUUCUGAAACCACAUGCCUGCAGAGGGAAUCCAAACCAGGCCACAUUUGCAUGAGCUGCUGAGGUUUUCUCUGGCCCCAGUGUGGUCUGAUGAGGCUCGCGCUCUGACCGCCCGGGGCCUCGAAACCGAGCUGAGGUCUUAUUGACAUGGAGCACGCAGCUUUGCCGUGACCGCCACCGCGGCGGCCAGAGCCGAUCCACCCGGCCUGCUGCAGAGACACAGAUGCCCACGUUUAAGAACACAGCAGGGAGCAGGACGGAGGGGGGGAGGGGUAUAAACUACAGCCAAAGAGUUAAAGAGAGGACACAAGGAGAGCGAACUUUUAAUUCUCUCUCUGCAGAAUUUGAAUUUAGAAAGAGACAGCAGUCACUUCAAACAGAGAGGGAGAGAGAAACCUCCAAAAAGACCAAACUUUUACCGCUAUAGUAGCUCAAACACAGGAAAGGUCAUACGGGAUUUAACCUUUUCAUACAAAAUGAAAGCUGCACUGACUCCCCCACAUGCAAACAUACUGUAUGUUUAAUUUCAGUGAGUGAAAAAGAAGUUGCAGGUGAGUCACGGAGAAAGAAACUCGAGCAUGCAUGAAGAAUCAUCGAAAUACUCCCCAAUAGAACAGCAGCUGACAGACAUUUAAAGUAUUUUACAUGAAAUAUGUUCGACUCUGGUUUGUCAGUGAGAAUAGACGCUUUAAAAACUUGAAAUAGUCAGUACGUUUACAUGAAACUCGAGAAAACUGAAUUAUUGCCGAAGACUGGACAACUGAAGUGCAUGUUAACACCUUCGUCUGACUAUAAUCGGAGUUUGAGGAGUUUUCAGAGAACUCCGAAAUGCGAUUGGAAUUCGAUUUUCUCUACCAUGUAACCAGCGUAGUCGGAGUAUGAUCGGACAAUGCAUGUGCACCACGCCUUCGUAACCCUGGAACAAAAACACCAGAGAAGAAGUGGCGCUAUCAUUUUAAGAACUUUUGACUCAGAAGUAACUGCAUCAUGGCUGAAGCACGAAAGAAUGUCCACUUUUAAAACAACAAGGAGAGCGCCAUUAUGCUUUCUGACCUGACAGAAAUUGGCAUUUUAAAAUAUAUGGAUGAUCGCAAAACGAGGAACGGAUAUGUCUUUAAAAAAGGUCCAGAAACAGACCCAUAUCGCCCCCUAGCUUUGGGGAGGAGGACACGUUCGCAUCACUAAUUCGAUUUUCUCAGCUGCGUGUAUACGCGGACAAGAAGAGAAGUCUGAUUCAGUAGAAAAAUCAAAUUAUGAGCUUAGUCCGAUUCAACUGUGCAUGUAAACACAUUGACUGUGAAAGAGUCAAAACUAAAUACCAGGAAUAAAAAUGAAGGUUCAGCGCCCUGGUAGACCAUGAUUAGUUGAUAUCUGCGUGACUGAAGUUGGAGUGUGUUCGGAUGUCGUUUCAGGACGGUGUGUUCUGAGUUACAGGAGGAAGUCACAUUAUUAUAACGUAUAAUUGCCCCGCGUCACGACAUGUUUGCUUGUUUAUUCUGGAGUGAUCACUGCGAUGCUAAUGGCCCUCGGUAAUGACAGCGUAUUUACUGUUAUGGAACAUUUUCAGCUGUAUUAUUAUGGUAUGUAACUCCCUGGAGUGGUAUCUAAACAUCCCCGUCCUCCUGAAGAUAAACGUAGACCUCUUCUUGUUGUACGCCGUGGUCAAUAUUCAGUCUGUCUUUAACAGUCUCAGGAUCAAACAGUGUUUUCUCUCAACUUUUAUUUUUCUAACUGGCGUUUUAUGUAUUGAAGAUUAUCUGUUUAUUCUUUAAUUUCAAAUAUUGAUCUGGUAUUACUAAAUGAGAUACUAAUAAUUUGAGCAGUCUUACCCACAUUAAACGCCUCCCUCACAUUGAUUUUGUAGCGCUGUUUACUACAAAAUUACCAUCUUUCUCGCUGUGUCGAUUUAAUGUUAUUACUCUACCCACAAAAUGAUUCAGUUACUUGAUUAAUUGCUUGAUUAAUUUGAUUUCAGCCGAACAAUUAUGGUCACAGCUUCUGCGUGCUUGUCUUUUUUUCUGUUUGGAAAGCAACAUGAGUAUUGACUGUGAAGAGAAAAUAUCAGAAUAAACAGAAACUGCUUAUUUCAUAUCGCACUGAUUUGUAUUCAUGUCCUAAAAACUGGGCUUUGCGACAAGACUGUGGUAAUCCAUACAUUCUCUGUAUAAUACGAAUAUGCAUAUCAGAGGAGCUGGAACAUAUUGAGUGAAUGAGAUUCAAUCUUCACGUCAAUUAUGUUCUCUUGUCAUUGUGUCAAAAUCCUCCACACAACGCCUGAAAACAACAAAACUCGUUCUCUGACAAGAGCUGAAUGCGUGUCAGUCAAAGAGGUCUGAGUGAUUUUCUUUUUCCUCAGACACUCAAAUCCAUCUGUGCUCUGAUUGUUAUUUUACAUUGUUGUUUUUAGGAGGCAAAGAAGUAAACCACAUGAGGCUCCUGUCUUUGACCGAUCCCCUGACCACCAUUUCCUCAGAUUUGAACCCUAACCUCCUAAUUCUGACCCUAAAGGUCGUUACACACCGGGGUCAAUUGGCGAAGCGAAAAAUUUGAAGUUUGACUUAUCUGACUGUUUUGUUUGGCUUAAUGCGCCCCUUAAUCUGGUGCACCUUAUGUAUGAAAAUAGACAUGAGUACACGCGUUCAUUGAUGGUGCGCCUUAUAGUGCCAAAAACACGGUACGCUAAUUUUCGCACCAGGUGUGUAUAGGAAAAGGCGUAAGACGAACAUUUUACAUUUUUGCAUCGCUUUUUUGGGUCACUUUGAUAAUUCGCCGAUGUGUAAUGACCUUAACCCUUAACCUUUUAGGCGGAAGACCUAAAGUCCUUGAGGUAGUUCACAGAGGAGAGGAAGGGUGGUACUUUUAGGAGUGAGGGACCGAGAGAGGUACCCGACAUGUUGACACCUUGACUCUUAACUUAGGGGAAGAGAGAAACUAAGGAGUCAUAAACAGAGAGGGAAAAAGUGAGUUUGUUGAAGUAGAUUUUGCGCCAGUGAGGUGAAGCUUGGUUUUAGUUGAUAAGGUUAACCAUCUCGGCAAAAAGUGGUUAAAAAGACAUUAAAGAGAUGUCAUCACCAUACGUCUAAACAACGUCUAGAUAAAGCCCAGUUUUCAACGUCUUUUUUUGGGCUAACUCACGGUGGCCGUGACUGAAAGUAGGUAGAUUUGAUGGACAUUUAGCUCUGGUUGUCAUCAAUGGAAUUAGAUGUUAAAUUUAUGGAGCAUAUAGCUAAAAGGAAGUAGAUAGAGGAUAAACAGAAGGGGACCGAGGACGUAACCCUGAGGAACACCAGUUUAAUGAACCAAGUUCAGCCAGAGAGUGAAGAGACAUCAUUAUUUACCUUCAAAUGACCAAAACAGAGAAAUAGUCCAAACAUCUUUGAUUAGGCACUUGUAACACUGGUGUUAAUGAGGCCUCCUGAGCUUUCAGACAGUCCCCUAGAGGACACUUGAGGAACUGCAGUUCUGGAAUAACCUCAUAUUUGAACAAUAGAGGAUGCUGCUUGGUUUGGCCGGUGUGCUCUGCCUUCUAUUUCUAUGGUGGUGCUCUACUGGGGAAAAAAAAUCACAAGGGGCUGUUAUUAAUCAAGUUAUUCUGGGAAAUGUAGGAGAUCACAAUCAAGAGGUAAUAAAAACAAGAGUUGGCAGCCGACGGUUUGUUAUUCCAAUGACCCCAUAGUUAGAUAACAAUAGUUGGAGAAAGUAGAACAAAGCUGCUCUUGUCCCAGUUUGGCCUUCAUAUCCACUCCUCCCUCUCAGUAUUUGCAGCAACAUCUAACGAAGAUCACAAAGAAUCUGAAGGAUACUGAUAACUCUAAUACCCGGGUUAUAAAAAGGCUGCUAUGAAUACCAUUUCAUAAUCAAUUUUCCUGCUUUUAUAUUCAAAUCAGCGGGAACAUUUGUCCGCAUGUUUAGUCAAUUUGGAGACGAGUGAUUGAAUGAAUUCUGUGGUCACACGGAAAGACGGCGGCGGUGUGCUAAAAAAGUGAUGACGGCGUCUUUCUGCCUGUCGGGAGGAGCAACAUUUCCCAUUAGGUUGGUGCUGGCUCUGUUUCACUUGAUUUGAUUCAAUAUGCAAAGGCCCUUUGAGAAAUCAGACAGCCUGUAGGGUGUGUGCCAUGGUAAUGUGGCGCUGAAUGAAAAGCAUGAUGAUGAAGAGGAUAAUACAGAGCACACGGCAAACCAUGAAAACCAUCCGUCUGCUCUCCCCCCUCCCACUCUCUCCUCUCCCUCACCCUUUCAUUUUCACACAGUUUAGAGGAUCCAUAUUAAUUGCACUGCUAAAUAUGGCCUUGACCUAUACUAGCCACUCCUGGAACAGCUGUGUUCACGGGGUGCCACUUUUUAGACGGCGGUGCUGAUAGGUUAUAUGCGGGAAGUGCUGCUGCUGAUGGCUCUGGUUGUUGCUAAGCGACCCUAAGGAUCCAAUGUGAAGUAUGCCGCACUUUAACUAAUAUUUGAGAUUCUCCCUUGUUUCAUCUCCCGGUAUAUGACACUUAAUUCAUCAGUCAUGCUCAGCUCCGAGGGAUGACUGACACUCCU